GACGAACCGUGCAAGCGUUGUUCGGAAUCACUGGGCUUAAAGGGCGCGUAGGCGGGCAGGCAAGUCGGAGGUGAAAUCCCACGGCUCAACCGUGGAAGUGCCCCCGAUACUGCCUGUCUCGAGGGAGGUAGGGGCGUGCGGAACUUCCGGUGGAGCGGUGAAAUGCGUAGAUAUCGGAAGGAACACCGGUGGCGAAAGCGGCGCGCUGGAUCUCUUCUGACGCUGAUGCGCGAAAGCCAGGGGAGCAAACGGG
RNAcentral lists this ribosomal RNA (253 nucleotides) under uncultured bacterium. RNAcentral describes it as "partial 16S ribosomal RNA". It matches the Rfam family "Bacterial small subunit ribosomal RNA", at positions 524 to 776 of the family's 1533-position model. The record is from RNAcentral.